UCAAUCUCACUCCUUACGCAAUUCUCAUCCUCACCGCUAUCUUCUCGGUUUUCUGGUGGUACCUUUUCAAACGCCAACCGCAACCGCCUCUGCCGCCUGGACCGCGAGGGCUACCAAUCGUCGGAAACCUCCCGUUUCUUGACCCUGACCUUCACAACUAUUUCACAAACAUCGCUCAGAAAUACGGUCCAAUCUUCAAACUCAAUCUCGGCUCAAAGCUAACCGUCGUGGUCAACUCUCCAUCGCUGGCUCGAGAGAUCUUGAAAGACCAAGACAUCAACUUCUCAAACCGAGAUGUCCCUCUCACGGGCCGAGCCGCUACUUAUGGUGGUAUUGACAUCGUCUGGUUACCAUAUGGUGCCGAAUGGAGAAUGCUUAGAAAAGUUUGCGUUCUCAAGCUUCUUAGCCGCAAAACUUUGGAUUCUUUCUACGAGCUUCGACGCAAAGAAAUCAGGGAAAGAACGAGGUAUUUGUACCAGCAAGGUCAGCUAGAAUCACCGGUGAAUGUCGGAGAUCAGUUGUUCUUGACGAUGAUGAAUCUAACGAUGAAUAUGUUAUGGGGAGGUUCGGUGAAAGCAGAGGAGAUGGAGAGUGUUGGAACAGAGUUUAAAGGAGUGAUUUCUGAGAUAACUAGGCUUUUGGGUGAGCCUAAUGUUUCGGAUUUUUUCCCGUGGAUAGCAAGAUUCGAUCUUCAAGGGCUUGUGAAGAAGAUGCGUGUGUGUGCUCAUGAGCUCGAUGCUAUAUUCGAUCGAGCCAUUGAGCACAUGCAAAGGCUAAAAAGUAGGGAUGAUGAUGGUGAAUGCAAAGACUUUUUGCAACAUAUGAUGAAGUUAAAGGACCAAGAAGUUGACUCAGAGGUUCCCAUUACGGUUAACCAUGUCAAAGCCGUACUCAUGGUAAUUAAUUUGGUUUUCAGUUUCAUAAUCUUAGAAUAUAAAACUUGCAUUUGGGAGGAUACCAAACUUCUGGAAAGUGAAAAAAAUAAGCAGAAUGGAAUUAACAAAAAGUUAAUAUAGUUACGAAAAUGCUGAAUUAUGGUUUCUAGAUUAAACUUCUCAUUAGUAUUACCAGUAACAUUUGAAACUUCAGAACUUAGAUGUCUGUAGUAGUCAGUAGAAUACAUUGGGCAUGACUGGUAUUGAGGAUAGCUGAAUAAUAGAAUAGUCGAAUCGAAAAAAACCUUAAAUAAAUCUUAAAAUGUCAAAGAUGAAUAAAGUUUUGUAUAAACUAGUUAUAAAUUUAGAACAUGUGUGAUGGAUAGAAAAAUAACGUUUUAAUUUUUACUUUUAUCAUUCAGUGGAAUCAUGUUUUUGAAACUUGAAAAAGAUACAUCAUUGAAACAAUUGGUUACUCUAACUUUUGAUCUGAUAUCUUUAGAAUCCGCCAUUUCUGCGUAUUACCAACCAGAGUUAUAGCUAUUUCAAAUUUUAGAUGACAGCUGCAUGCUAGGUAGAUUAGAUGAUUAUUGGUUCAUGAUACUGAUUUGAUCAAAAUGUUUGUUAUGUAUUUGUGAAGGAUAUGGUGGUCGGUGGUACAGAUACAUCAACGAAUACGAUAGAGUUUGCGAUGGCCGAGCUUAUAAGCAAACCGGAGUUGAUAAAGAGAGCACAGCAAGAGCUAGACGAAGUUGUCGGAAAAGACAAUAUUGUUGAAGAAUCACACAUCACUAGACUUCCUUACAUAUUAGCCAUUAUGAAAGAAACACUUAGGCUUUAUCCAACCAUUCCUUUGUUAGUCCCUCACCGUCCGGCUGAAACCGCGGUAGUGGGCGGCUACACCAUUCCUAAAGACACUAAGAUCUUUAUCAAUGUUUGGUCUAUUCACAGAGAUCCAAAUGUGUGGGAGAAUCCAACUGAGUUUCGUCCUGAGAGGUUUCUUGAUAAUAAAUCUUGUGAUUUCACCGGAACCGAUUAUAGCUUUCUUCCUUUCGGAUCUGGCCGGCGAAUUUGCGCAGGUGUAGCACUCGCCGAGAGGAUGGUCUUGUACACUCUAGCUACGCUAUUGCAUUCGUUUGAUUGGAAGAUUCCAGAAGGACAUGUGUUGGAUUUGGAAGACAAGUUUGGGAUUGUCUUGAAGCUCAAGACCCCUCUUGUUGCCUUGCCCGUUCCGAGAUUGUCCGAUUCAAAUCUUUACCUAUAGAAGCUAAGAUUGUAAUCUUUAGAAAUUCUUGUAUCAUACAAAAACAACAAAUUACUACCGGGUUUUUCGAGGUAAAGUACAAUGUAUUUAUAACGUUUUUUAAGCGUCAUAUGUGAUUCUAUUAUACAAAACCAAAUAAUUAUUACGGUAAAGUAUGAUGUUAUUUACGAAGUUUUAAUAUAAGUUUUAUAAUGUAAAUCAAACGUCAGAUUCGGUAAAAAAAUAACAAAAGUAUUGAAUUUGGACCAUUUGUUUUAUCUAAAUGUUUGGAUAUUAGUUUCGUGCCAGUCCAAUAUUCUCUAAUCUGAACUGCAUAACUCACAUCACAGUUCUCUCUGUUAAUUACUAAAAAUAGAAGAAACAAAACAACUUACUAAACUUAAUUACGAUGAUGGUUGAUAAACGCAAAUUGUGAGUUUCUUACUAAACUUAAUUACGAUGGGUGAUAAACGCAAAUCAGAAAACUUUGAGUUAUAAGCGCAUCUUUAUUGGUGAAAAUCUUUUAAAGUAUCUCAAACAUAAAAAAUACUAGUAUUUAAAUAGAACUUGAUUAUUUUUCAAAAUUUUAAUCUAAAUUAAAAAUUAAACUAAUAUAAAAAGAAUACAUUUGUUUUGAGGUUCUCAUGGGUUCUCAUAAGUUAUCAUUUGAAAAUCUCUUCUCAUUCUCUAUACUCUCGUGAGAAUCUCUCAAUGAAGAUGCUUUUAGAACCUCAAAAACAUCUCUAAAACUAAUUCAAGGACCUCAAAAACAUCUUUAAAAGCUAAUCUAAUUUUCGCUUUAGAUAUAAGUUUAGAGAAAAACCUUCUCAAAUAUUAAUCUAUUCAUACUCUAAGAAAAGCAUACUGGAUCAAUGAUAUGGAUAUAUAGAAAAAAUUUAUGGAAUUUAAAGAUCUAAAAUUAUUUAGACAAAUUUUACAGAAAAAAUGUUAUGAAUGAAUAAUAAUCUAUUGUAAGAAAAAGAAUAGAAUAAUUCUAAAUUGAGUAUAAAGAACUAUUAUUCUGGAAUUAUUAUAUUUUGUUAAACCAUUCGUAAUUUUAACAUAUUUUAAAUUUUCACUAACAUAUUUUAUUUAUAAAAGAAAUAGUAAGUUAAAAAAAAAUUAGUAUGUAUGAAAAGCUUAAAAUAUCUAUCAAAUUUUUUAUUGAGAGAGUAAAAACAGUGGAAAGUACCAUUCUAAACACAGUAAGAGUAUAAGAGCAUGUUUAUCAGGAGUUCAUCAAGAAUUCAUGGCAUAGGUUUUAAGAUGAAAUUCAAUAAAAUAAUAAUUUUAAAUGUAGAGGUUUAUGGUCAAAGUUCUUCUCGACGAAGCUGAAGAAUCCAAAUUCAUCCAGAUUCAUCACACGUAAAGCAUUCUGAUUAGUUCCAAAAAAUAAUUUUCGAAUUUAAAAAAAAUAAAAAAAACAAAAUAAAAAAAGUAUUAUUAUAUUAAGACGAACCCAUUUCUCAGAAGUCAUUGAUGGACAUGGUCUAACAUCCGCUCAAAAAGAUAUCAUCUAGACCCUGAAGUCUUCAUUCAUGAUUGGCUUUCCCCGUUAUUAAUAUAUUACUGUAUACUAUUGGUAAAGUUAAGGUGAAAUAACUAACAUAAAGAACAAUUUCCUUUGUUUUAAUCUCAUAAUUCUCAAAAAUGUCACCGAUUUCACAUCUCUUCACCGACAACACAAUUAAGCUCCUUCCUUAUGCAAUUCUCAUUCUCACAGCAAUCUUUUCAAUUUUCUGGUACCUCUUUAAACGCGGACCGCAACCGCCUCUGCCGCCUGGACCGCGAGGGCUACCUAUUGUCGGAAACCUCCUGUUUCUUGACCCUGACCUUCACACUUACUUUACAAAACUCGCUCAAGAACACGGUCCAAUCUUCAAACUUAAUCUCGGCUCAAAACUAACCGUCGUGGUCAACUCUCCAUCGCUGGCUCGAGAGAUCUU
This 4064-nucleotide long non-coding RNA is filed under the name Eutrema salsugineum. RNAcentral describes it as "long non-coding RNA (ESAL_LNC000836)". Lineage: Eukaryota; Viridiplantae; Streptophyta; Magnoliopsida; Brassicales; Brassicaceae. The record is from RNAcentral.